This 478-nucleotide ribosomal RNA is filed under the name uncultured bacterium. RNAcentral describes it as "partial 16S ribosomal RNA". It matches the Rfam family "Bacterial small subunit ribosomal RNA", at positions 28 to 523 of the family's 1533-position model. The record is from RNAcentral.
GACGAACGCUGGCGGCGUGCUUAACACAUGCAAGUCGAACGGUAAGGCCCUUCGGGGUACACGAGUGGCGAACGGGUGAGUAACACGUGGGUGAUCUGCCCUGCACUUCGGGAUAAGCCUGGGAAACUGGGUCUAAUACCGGAUAGGACCACUGCCUGCAUGGGUGGUGGUGGAAAGCUUUUGCGGUGUGGGAUGGGCCCGCGGCCUAUCAGCUUGUUGGUGGGGGGAUGGCCUACCAAGGCGACGACGGGUAGCCGGCCUGAGAGGGUGACCGGCCACACUGGGCCUGAGGUACGGCCCAGACGCCUACGGGAGGCAGCAGUGGGGAAUAUUGCACAAUGGGCGCAAGCCUGAUGCAGCGACGCCGCGUGAGGGAUGACGGCCUUCGGGUUGUAAACCUCUUUCAGCACCGACGAAGCGCAAGUGACGGUAGGUGCAGAAGAAGGACCGGCCAACUACGUGCCAGCCGCCGCGGUAA